Molecule: long non-coding RNA, 1909 nt
Organism: Oreochromis niloticus (Nile tilapia)
Lineage: Eukaryota; Metazoa; Chordata; Actinopteri; Cichliformes; Cichlidae
Exons: 2
Source: RefSeq, a predicted model, not a curated record
UUUUUUUUUUUUUAAACAGAUGCACUGAGGAGAUCUGCAGAAUACUCAUUAUAAUGAUUACUGUGAUAAACUCACAGGGUGGUCUGAAUUGCAGACCCCAUAAAUCCCCAUAUUAUCAUCACAAACUCGGGUCAUCUUCGUAGUGUAUACUGAGAGGUCGUGCAAGCUUCUGUUCACAAGCUUUAGGUGAUUUUUAUGUGUUUAUUUUCAUCAACACAAACACAUGGUGGCCUGCUUGCACAAAACAAAACAAAAGAGCAGCUACCAGACGUGGGUUUGACCUCAUGCACUGGACACUUUUAACCGCCAGAGCUGAUAUAAUUAAUCAGGUUUAAAGUGUUGAGUGGACAAUCUUCUCCUCUUGUUGCGGUUUAACUUGUUAGCAGCUUUGCGAAAGGUGAACAACGGUGAUGUAAACAUCCAAAAGGUGUCAUCCGGCGGUCACUAGUCUCCUAUAAGGACUUGUAGUAUAACUUGGGUGUAUAUAUAGUGUGGCAGAGAUAAAUAGCUGGCUAUAGAUGUUUUAUUUUAUUCCAACAUAACAAAAAAGACGAGUGCAUGCAUGGGCAUAACAAGGUUUCACUGACUGAUCUUACAGCUUCCUGCGAUGUUAGCUUAAAGCUACCUGGCACCAAAGGCAUCGAAACGGAAAUACAGGAGCCGUUUAAACGGUUAAAAAGCGAGGCACACGACGGGGAUGUGGCUGUUUGUCUUUCUGACACACUCGGGGACACAUUUCCAUUUAUUAAUGUUUUCUAAUCCAUCUAAGCGCACAUGAAACAAGAUGAAAGGAGGUGGAAGGGGAGGAGGGGGGGAGAAAGCUAACGUUGGGUAGGCUAACGCUAACGCUGCCAAUAUGGCUGCCUGGUACCCCUUUAAAUCAAAUUGUCUGCCGUGAUUAUACCUCCAUCACUGACGGUUUGUGGGGGGGAAAAAAAUGUGCCCGAAAACAAGCUGGCUACGACUGAAAACGAGGAGAUGCAGCAUGCAGAGGCGGCCAACAGGUCCACGGCACGAUGGAAAUACUGUAUCUACGCUUGCAGCAGGCUCUCCGAUUGGCUUUUAUGCGCCUCCUCGCCUGAUCUGCUUCUCAGGAGGGAGGAGGUGGAAAAAAGAAAGAGCUGUCACUCUGCCUCUUGUUUCUUGUUCCUGCAUGUUGUUCCUGCAAGUGUUAUUAGGAACACUUCUCUUCCUUUCAUAUGUCAAGGAUUUCGUUCAGAUGUUGGGCGCAGCAAGAAAGUGCCAGGUUUAAAUCCAGGGUGGAUGGAUGUUCUCCCCAAAUACAGGGGAGUCCAAACACAUGAAUAACACUUUAUAAUACAGUCCUGUAAUUAAAUGUAAUUUUAAUGUAUUUUAUUUGAAAUUACAAUGUAAUUUAUUAUUGUUAUUAUUUACCUACAAACACUUAAAUAUAGGCAAAAACAAUAUUUUCCCAUCUUACAUUGUAAGUACACACUGUACUUUUUGGAGGGAGGGCUCUAUAUUAUAGAGCAGUUUGACUUUUAUAUGCUUUAUACUGUAAGUAAUUUUAAGUUCAGCGUAAGCGUAACAUCCAUCAUGCAUAAUAAUGAAUAUUAAAUAAUAAUGUAAAAAAAUAAAGAUGUAAAAACACAAGAUUUCAUGUUUAACACAACAGCUGCUACUAAAAUAACUGUUCUUUUUAAUUGAUUUGUGAAUAAGCUGUCAAAUCUGUAAAGGCUUUUGCAAAGACAAUAAGUGUGAAUUGCAGCUUUCUUAUCGUUGAACAUUACCUUGUGUAUUGAUCUGGUCACUGUUUGUCUGCCAGAUUGUGCUCUGUCUCCAGUUUCUACCAUGCAAAUGCUUCCUUAGAAAACUUCAGUCUAUCCAAACUUUUGUGUAUGAGAAAUCUCUGUCACUUGGUUCAAUUAAAAACCAGUGUGCAACUUAA